AGUGAACGCUGGCGGUAGGCCUAACACAUGCAAGUCGAACGGCAGCACAGAGGAGCUUGCUCCUUGGGUGGCGAGUGGCGGACGGGUGAGGAAUACAUCGGAAUCUACUCUGUCGUGGGGGAUAACGUAGGGAAACUUACGCUAAUACCGCAUACGGCCUACGGGUGAAAGCAGGGGAUCUUCGGACCUUGCGCGAUUGAAUGCGCCGAUGUCGGAUUAGCUAGUUGGCGGGGUAAAGGCCCACCAAGGCGACGAUCCGUAGCUGGUCUGAGAGGAUGAUCAGCCACACUGGAACUGAGACACGGUCCAGACUCCUACGGGAGGCAGCAGUGGGGAAUAUUGGACAAUGGGCGCAAGCCUGAUCCAGCCAUACCGCGUGGGUGAAGAAGGCCUUCGGGUUGUAAAGCCCUUUUGUUGGGAAAGAAAUCCAUCUGGUUAAUACCCGGGUGGGAUGACGGUACCCAAAGAAUAAGCACCGGCUAACUUCGUGCCAGCAGCCGCAGUAA
Molecule: ribosomal RNA, 506 nt
Filed under: uncultured bacterium
Lineage: Bacteria
Description: partial 16S ribosomal RNA
Rfam family: Bacterial small subunit ribosomal RNA
Source: RNAcentral